Ictidomys tridecemlineatus (thirteen-lined ground squirrel) is the source of this 69-nucleotide non-coding RNA. The record is from Rfam. NCBI's taxonomy places the organism in Eukaryota, Metazoa, Chordata, Mammalia, Rodentia, Sciuridae.
GGGGUCAUGGCUCAGUGGUAGAGCAUUUGCCUAGCAAGCAUAAGGAACUGGGUUCAAUUCCCAGCACCA